Molecule: unclassified non-coding RNA, 336 nt
Filed under: soil metagenome
Description: partial contains 5.8S ribosomal RNA, internal transcribed spacer 2, and large subunit ribosomal RNA
Rfam family: 5.8S ribosomal RNA (bases 1-120)
Source: RNAcentral
GAUGAAGAACGCAGCGAAAUGCGAUAAGUAAUGUGAAUUGCAGAAUUCAGUGAAUCACCGAAUCUUUGAACGCACAUUGCGCCCGCCAGUAUUCUGGCGGGCAUGCCUGUUCGAGCGUCAUUUCAACCAUCAAGCCCCCGGCUUGUGUUGGGGACCUGCGGCUGCCGCAGGCCCUGAAAAGCAGUGGCGGGCUCGCUGUCACACCGAGCGUAGUAGCAUACAUCUCGCUCUGGGCGUGCUGCGGGUUCCGGCCGUUAAACCACCUUCAUAACCCAAGGUUGACCUCGGAUCAGGUAGGAAGACCCGCUGAACUUAAGCAUAUCAAUAAGCGGAGGA